UAAGGAAUAUUGGACAAUGGAGGCAACUCUGAUCCAGCCAUGCCGCGUGAAGGAAUAAGGCCCUAUGGGUUGUAAACUUCUUUUAGACGGGACAAAACCCCUUUACGUGUAAAGGGCUGAUGGUACUGUCAGAAUAAGCAUCGGCUAACUUCGUGCCAGCAGCCGCGGUAAUACGAAGGAUGCAAGCGUUAUCCGGAAUUAUUGGGUUUAAAGGGUGCGUAGGCGGACUAAUAAGUCAGUGGUGAAAGCCUGCAGCUUAACUGCAGAAUUGCCAUAGAUACUGUUAGUCUUGAGUACAGUUGAGGUAGGCGGAAUGUGUCAUGUAGCGGUGAAAUGCUUAGAUAUGACACAGAACACCGAUUGCGAAGGCAGCUUGCUAAGCUGUAACUGGCGCUGAGGCACGAAAGCGUGGGGAGCAAACA
RNAcentral lists this ribosomal RNA (422 nucleotides) under uncultured bacterium. RNAcentral describes it as "bacterial SSU rRNA". It matches the Rfam family "Bacterial small subunit ribosomal RNA", at positions 355 to 774 of the family's 1533-position model. The record is from RNAcentral.